CAUUUAGGCGCCUUUGAAGCUUGGAUUUUGGAAUGUUUCAGUAGUGGACAGAAAUCUGCUGUUGGAAUCUUCUAGUCUUCCAGGUUUAAUUUGAAAUGUUUUUAGUUUUGUUUUGGAGUUUUGUGUGGUAUUUUAUUUCCUUUAUAUCAGUGCCCUUUUGCCAUGCUGUUUUGGGGUGGCUGCCUAACUCUAGUGAAAAUUCUUUCUAUAUUAACGGAAGUUUGGUGUUUUAAAUUCCUUAAUGUUUUGCAUUUUUUUAAAUUGUUUUUAAAGAAAUAUUCUAACUGCUUGCACUGUUACUGUUCUUUGCCAGCCUUUUCAGGAGCCAAAAAAACAAAAACAAACAAACAAAAAAAUACCCAGAGAAAAAACUUUCCUUCUUCCCCCUUCCUGAUGAUGAGUGAGAAGUAUUGAGAACUUUCGGGGUCAGUGCCCUUCUAAACUCCCCUUCCCCCAAUAAUGCAGCUGUAUAAUGAAUGGUAAAUGCAGCGGUUUGGAUUCAGGCACAGCCCCAGCCUGCUUGCAGCAGAGAGAUAAACUGGUAGGUGGCAGCAGAAGAAGGAAUUCUUCAGAUUGAUGGCUACUGAAAGAAUCUACGUAGAAGAGAUAGAGCAUAACAUAUCAAGUGAAGCAAAGGGGGCAGAAAAUGGAAACAGGACUAAAAUGUUUGGAUUUUGACUCUAAAUGGUUCUAUUGAAGUAACCAGUGAUCCUUUUUGCUUAUUACUUCAUUCACAGAAUGGACGAAGAUAGAUUUGACUGUAUGUUUUUUGAAAUGGAGGAUAGAAAUACCCAGAACAAGGAAGCAGUAGCUCUAACCUGUUUGAUUCAAUGUGUUUUCUAAAAUAAAAACACCAGAACUGGGAAUAAAAUAGU
This is a non-coding RNA of Callorhinus ursinus (northern fur seal), 875 nucleotides long. The record is from RefSeq and is a predicted model, not a curated record. Lineage: Eukaryota; Metazoa; Chordata; Mammalia; Carnivora; Otariidae.